RNAcentral lists this ribosomal RNA (460 nucleotides) under uncultured bacterium. Its description in RNAcentral is "partial 16S ribosomal RNA". It matches the Rfam family "Bacterial small subunit ribosomal RNA", at positions 338 to 795 of the family's 1533-position model. The record is from RNAcentral.
CCUACGGGCGGCAGCAGUGAGGAAUAUUGGUCAAUGGACGAGAGUCUGAACCAGCCAAGUAGCGUGAAGGAUGACUGCCCUAUGGGUUGUAAACUUCUUUUAUAUGGGAAUAAAAUGUUCCACGUGUGGGAUUUUGUAUGUACCAUAUGAAUAAGGAUCGGCUAACUCCGUGCCAGCAGCCGCGGUAAUACGGAGGGUCCGAGCGUUAUCCGGAUUUAUUGGGUUUAAAGGGAGCGUAGGUGGAUUGUUAAGUCAGUUGUGAAAGUUUGCGGCUCAACCGUAAAAUUGCAGUUGAAACUGGCAGUCUUGAGUACAGUAGAGGUGGGCGGAAUUCGUGGUGUAGCGGUGAAAUGCUUAGAUAUCACGAAGAACUCCGAUUGCGAAGGCAGUUCACUGGACUGCAACUGACACUGAGGCUCGAAAGUGUGGGUAUCAAACAGGAUUAGAUACCCGUGUAGUC